CUCACUCAGGGCUGAGUCUCUGGGGAAGGCAGAGCUGUGCUCGAGGAGAAGAUGAUUCUGUGGGGUCUUCUCCUCUGCCUGGCGACAGCGCCCCUGGGUGCUGUGUCUGCUCUGACCCUGCAGGAGUCAGGCCCAGGCCUGGUGAAGCCCUCCCAGACCCUGUUCCUCACCUGCUCUGUCUCUGGGGGCUCUGUCACCAGCAGUAACUACUGGCAUUGGAUCCGCCAGCGCCCUGGGAAAGGGUUGGAAUGGAUGGGGUACUGGUCAGGUGGUACCAGCUACAACCCAGCAUUCCAGGGGCGCAUCUCAAUCACAGCUGACACCUCCAAGAAUCAGUUCUCCCUGCAGCUGAGCUCUGUGACCUCCGAGGACACGGCCAUGUACUACUGUGCAAGAGGCACAGUGAGGGGAAGUCAGGGUGAGCUCAGACAAAAACCUCCCUACUGGGAGAGUAUGCUGUCCCUCACCUGCUCGGUCUCUGGAUUCUCUCUGACCAGUAAUGCUGUGCACUGGGUCCGCCAGGCCCCUGGAAAGGGGCUGGAUUGGAUUGGUGCUAUAGGUACUGGUGGGGACACAUACUAUAACCCAAGUCUUCAGUCCCGACUCAGUAUCUCCAGGGACAUCUCAAACAACCAAGUUUACCUAAAACUGAGCAACUCAGUGCCUGAGGACACAGCUGUGUAUUAUUGUAAAUCGCCUUACUAUUUUUCAUGA
Non-coding RNA from Sorex araneus (European shrew), 714 nucleotides. NCBI's taxonomy places the organism in Eukaryota, Metazoa, Chordata, Mammalia, Eulipotyphla, Soricidae. The record is from the annotation of a RefSeq genome assembly.